RNAcentral lists this ribosomal RNA (482 nucleotides) under uncultured bacterium. RNAcentral's name for it is "partial 16S ribosomal RNA". It matches the Rfam family "Bacterial small subunit ribosomal RNA", at positions 30 to 507 of the family's 1533-position model. The record is from RNAcentral.
AUUGAACGCUGGCGGCAUGCCUUACACAUGCAAGUCGAACGGUAACAGGUCUUCGGAUGCUGACGAGUGGCGAACGGGUGAGUAAUACAUCGGAACGUGCCCGAUCGUGGGGGAUAACGGAGCGAAAGCUUUGCUAAUACCUCAUACGAUCUACGGAUGAAAGCAGGGGACCGCAAGGCCUUGCGCGGACGGAGCGGCCGAUGGCAGAUUAGGUAGUUGGUGGGAUAAAAGCUUACCAAGCCGACGAUCUGUAGCUGGUCUGAGAGGACGACCAGCCACACUGGGACUGAGACACGGCCCAGACUCCUACGGGAGGCAGCAGUGGGGAAUUUUGGACAAUGGGCGAAAGCCUGAUCCAGCCAUGCCGCGUGAAGGAUGAAGGCCUUCGGGUUGUAAACUGCUUUUGUACGGAACGAAAAGACUCUUUCUAAUAAAGAGGGUCCAUGACGGUACCGUAAGAAUAAGCACCGGCUAACUACGUG